AGACCAUUUCAAAGAGAGCUUGUGUGACCAAAACCAGGAAGGAGGUCUUAACGCUGCGACCUAAGGUUGAAGUUCUCCAUAAGAUGUAAUAGACACUUAAUAGUACUAUAUUUUCUUGUGCAGAUAUAAAA
Phyllostomus discolor (pale spear-nosed bat) is the source of this 131-nucleotide small nucleolar RNA. RefSeq annotates it as small nucleolar RNA SNORA25. Lineage: Eukaryota; Metazoa; Chordata; Mammalia; Chiroptera; Phyllostomidae. The transcript has a single exon. The record is from RefSeq and is a predicted model, not a curated record.